UGCACACAUAUAAAAGAUAGGUUACUUCCUAAUAUGGCUUUUUGUGGAAGCUUGAUAUAUGGCAUUUGAGCAGUAAGCUUUGGCAUAGCUGGCAUUUGGCUUGGCUUGGCUUGGCUUUGGAACAAAUGACUUGUUAUGACUUGAUCAAUUCUUCGAUUGAUAAAUACUUUGGAAAACUCCGUAUGUGUUGACGCUUAGUGCACUGGUCUGGUUCACAAGCGACUAACACUGAAGUCAAACAUUGUACCUUCUUUGUCAGCAAACAUUGAUCAGUCGGUUCAGGGUUAGUUUAUGCUUCAAUUGUUGAUUGUAAAUAACCAACCAAGAUAUAGAGAAAUAUCUUGCUUCAGGGGUUGCACUGAAAUCUUUCGAGUACUUGGACAACAUCUUCAUUACUUCCACAAUCUUGAAUACUUCAAUCUUUAUUCUUCACUGAGGCAUGAACAUAUUAAUGAACUUCUUCCAGUGAACUUAUUCCUUCAAGACUGUAGAUG
Molecule: long non-coding RNA, 494 nt
Filed under: Daucus carota (carrot)
Lineage: Eukaryota; Viridiplantae; Streptophyta; Magnoliopsida; Apiales; Apiaceae
Description: long non-coding RNA (DCAR_LNC001151)
Source: RNAcentral